AUGUUAUUGGUGGCGCAGUAUCCUAGUCAAAGCGCGCCGGUUUCGAAGAAGGGCCUAAAAAUCCUUUUAAGGGCAUAUCGAUGAAGUCCCUGGUGCUUGCUUUUUUCGCCCAGAUCAGGGUGGGUGCUGGGGGUUAAGGUCUCCGGGCGAGGUGUAACGGCAUAUACCGACCGACCCGGUUUCCGUGGAGACCUGCUCUUGUGCGACAGCCGUUCCGUAUCUGCGGGUACCCGGACUGCGUACGAAGCAGGAUUGAACCUGCAUUGCGGUGCACAGAAUCGUGUGCUGUGUGUAGCGUAGCCUGCCUUGCGUGGGUAUGUGGGAAUAGGGGAGCGACGCGUCAGCCGCCGUGGCCGCGGCGCUUGGCGAUAUUGCCCCUUGAAACCAUGCCUGCAAAAGAGGAUAGAGCCGGUGCGUAAUGCUGUGGAAAACACCUAGGCUGACUGUUCAUUCAGGGCAUGCAGAGGAUUACAGUGCGGACUAAGUGGCAAUCGGGUACCGGAUGCGGCAACGCUCCGGCUUUGGCUUUAAAUGGAAACAGCCGUCCGGCGACGGGCGGCAGCGAUUGGGGAAAUCCAACCCGACCUAAGCCGCAGGCUUUACUCUGUCUGCUGCCACCAUUCUUUAGAA
Molecule: small RNA, 630 nt
Filed under: human gut metagenome
Source: RNAcentral